RNAcentral lists this ribosomal RNA (497 nucleotides) under uncultured bacterium. RNAcentral describes it as "partial 16S ribosomal RNA". It matches the Rfam family "Bacterial small subunit ribosomal RNA", at positions 28 to 507 of the family's 1533-position model. The record is from RNAcentral.
GAUGAACGCUGGCGGCGUGCCUAAUACAUGCGAGUCGAGCGAACAGACGAGGAGCUUGCUCCUCUGACGUUAGCGGCGGACGGGUGAGUAACACGUGGAUAACCUACCUAUAAGACUGGGAUAACUUCGGGAAACCGGAGCUAAUACCGGAUAAUAUAUUGAACCGCAUGGUUCAAUAGUGAAAGACGGUUUUGCUGUCACUUAUAGAUGGAUCCGCGCCGCAUUAGCUAGUUGGUAAGGUAACGGCUUACCAAGGCAACGAUGCGUAGCCGACCUGGGAGGGUGGUCGGCCGCACUGGAACUGAGACGGGGUCCAGGCUCCUACGGGAGGCAGCAGUAGGGAAUCUUCCGCAAUGGGCGGAAGCCUGACGGAGCGACGCCGCGUGAGUGAUGGAGGUCUUCGGAUCGUAAAACUCGGUUAUUAGGGAAGAACAAAUGUGUAAGUAACUAUGCACGUCUUGACGGUACCUAAUCAGAAAGCCACGGCUAACUACGUG